AGCGUAGCACUCCUUAGCUGGUGGCGCGCUGUCGAAAGCUGCGCGUGGCGCCCCUGUCCGGUUGCGCGAGAGUU
This 74-nucleotide small nucleolar RNA is filed under the name Trypanosoma cruzi. Its description in RNAcentral is "HACA small nucleolar RNA (snoRNA)". It matches the Rfam family "Trypanosomatid snoRNA TB11Cs4H3". Lineage: Eukaryota; Euglenozoa; Kinetoplastea; Trypanosomatida; Trypanosomatidae. The record is from RNAcentral.